AGAGUUUGAUCCUGGCUCAGAUUGAACGCUGGCGGCAUGCCUUACACAUGCAAGUCGAACGGCAGCACGGGAGCAAUCCUGGUGGCGAGUGGCGAACGGGUGAGUAAUGUAUCGGAACGUACCAUUGAGUGGGGGAUAACGUAGCGAAAGUUACGCUAAUACCGCAUAUACCCUGAGGGGGAAAGCAGGGGAUCGCAAGACCUUGUGCUCUUUGAGCGGCCGAUAUCAGAUUAGCUAGUUGGUGAGGUAAAGGCUCACCAAGGCGACGAUCUGUAGCGGGUCUGAGAGGAUGAUCCGCCACACUGGAACUGAGACACGGUCCAGACUCCUACGGGAGGCAGCAGUGGGGAAUUUUGGACAAUGGGGGCAACCCUGAUCCAGCCAUGCCGCGUGAGUGAAGAAGGCCUUCGGGUUGUAAAGCUCUUUCGGCCGGGAGGAAAUCGCAUCAGUUAAUACCUGGUGUGGAUGACAGUACCGGAAUAAGAAGCACCGGCUAACUACGUGCCAGCAGCCGCGGUAAUA
RNAcentral lists this ribosomal RNA (522 nucleotides) under uncultured bacterium. RNAcentral's name for it is "bacterial SSU rRNA". It matches the Rfam family "Bacterial small subunit ribosomal RNA", at positions 8 to 525 of the family's 1533-position model. The record is from RNAcentral.